UACGAAGGGGGCUAGCGUUGCUCGGAAUCACUGGGCGUAAAGCGCACGUAGGCGGAUUCUUAAGUCAGGGGUGAAAUCCUGGAGCUCAACUCCAGAACUGCCUUUGAUACUGCGGGCCUCGAGGGAGGUAGGGGCGUGCGGAACUUCCGGUGGAGCGGUGAAAUGCGUAGAUAUCGGAAAGAACACCAACGGCGAAAGCACUCUGCUGGGCCGACACUGACACUGAGAGACGAAAGCUAGGGGAGCGAAUGGG
Molecule: ribosomal RNA, 253 nt
Filed under: uncultured bacterium
Lineage: Bacteria
Description: partial 16S ribosomal RNA
Rfam family: Bacterial small subunit ribosomal RNA
Source: RNAcentral